UCGCGUGGCUCAUCGGCGUCCCGGCGCGCGAUGUCCUUUGAGCUCUUAUCACGUCUACGAACAAACGCGAUCUUCGAAAAUUCUGUACUGUGCAAAAAUUUAACAUUUCCCAUUUAAACUAUUCUGUGUUGGUUUUCAUUACCUUUUUAAUUCAGUUUUAAUUGUAUAAGUCGGUGCGUUUGUUAAUUUUUUACUUGCUUUCUACUUCUCUGUGACAUUAUUUAUUGUUUUAAUUGGAUUUGUUCAGCGAAGAUCUGGCAGCCUGUGUUUGGAAACUUACAACACCCCAGGCGCAGGUUGCGGGCGCAGCGCCAGCGGCGGCGGCGGCGGAGGCAGAAGCGGGGAACUGUUGAAGUCCGAGCAGCAAGAUCGGCUGCUACUGCGAGCGCGCGGCGGGCUGAUGGCCCGGUGACGCAGCAUGCGCCGCGUGUCCAUCGCCGCUUUACUGCGGCUGCUCCUCCUCGCAGGCGGCGCUAGCUUCGCAAACCCGUACGGCGGCGAGGAGCGCGUGGACCUCGGCCAGGUAUGGGUGGACAUCCCGAGCGCGCCGGUCGCGCUGGGCGGGG
This is a long non-coding RNA of Papilio polytes (common Mormon), 566 nucleotides long. RefSeq lists it as uncharacterized. NCBI's taxonomy places the organism in Eukaryota, Metazoa, Arthropoda, Insecta, Lepidoptera, Papilionidae. The transcript has 5 exons. The record is from RefSeq and is a predicted model, not a curated record.